Molecule: ribosomal RNA, 241 nt
Filed under: uncultured bacterium
Lineage: Bacteria
Description: partial 16S ribosomal RNA
Rfam family: Bacterial small subunit ribosomal RNA
Source: RNAcentral
CGAGCGGCGGACGGGUGAGUAAUGCUUGGGAAUCUGCCCAAUAGCGGGGGAUAACUCGAGGAAACUCGAGCUAAUACCGCAUACGCCCUACGGGGGAAAGCGGGGGACUCUUCGGAGCCUCGCACUAUUGGAUGAGCCCAAGUCGGAUUAGCUUGUUGGUAGGGUAAUGGCCUACCAAGGCGACGAUCCGUAGCUGGUCUGAGAGGACGAUCAGCCACACCGGAACUGAGACACGGCCCGG